AUAUCCAUUAUGGAAAAUUCAACAUUAAUAUUAUAAUAUUUAUUUAUAAAUAUUAUAAAAAUAGUGUGCAAUUUUUCCAUAUAAGGACAUUGUAAUCUGUUAAUGUAAUAAAUAUUUAUCAUAAGAUUCAAUAAAUAAAAGUUUAUUCAAAUUAGUUAUUUUCCGAUUUCUAACAUAGAAUAAAUUUAAUUGAAUUUGAUAAAUCAUUGACAGAUUUAUUUAUAUAUAGUGCUUAAAUUCUUAAUUGAAUUUUACAAUAAUUUAUAAAUGUAUUUUCAUUUAUUUAUUUAUUGUAUGCACUUAUAUGAUUAACAAUGCUAUAGAUUCAGGAUACCUUCGGGACCCGUCUUGAAACACGGACCAAGGAGUCUAACAUAUGUGCAAGUCAUUGGGUAUUUUUAAUAAAACCCAAAGGCAUAAUUAACUUAACUGUUUUUAAUAUGGGAUUAAUUUAUAUUUUAUUAUGAAAUAUUAAUUCAAUCCCGGGGCGUUCUAUAUAGUUAUGUAUAAUAAUAUUUAUAUUAUUUAUGCCUCUAACUAGAGCGUACCUUGAGCAUAUAUGCUGUGACC
This 570-nucleotide ribosomal RNA is filed under the name Merodon constans. Its description in RNAcentral is "partial large subunit ribosomal RNA". Lineage: Eukaryota; Metazoa; Arthropoda; Insecta; Diptera; Syrphidae. The record is from RNAcentral. RNAcentral also lists the same sequence under 3 other names.